GUGAGGAAUAUUGCACAAUGGGCGAAAGCCUGAUGCAGCAACGCCGCGUGAGGGACGAAGGCCUUCGGGUCGUAAACCUCUUUUCUGGGGGAAGAGAUCAGGACGGUACCUCAGGAAUAAGUCUCGGCUAACUACGUGCCAGCAGCCGCGGUAAAACGUAGGAGGCGAGCGUUAUCCGGAUUUACUGGGCGUAAAGCGCACGCAGGCGGCUCCGUUAGUCGGACGUGAAAGCUCCUGGCUUAACUGGGAGAGGCCGUUCGAUACUGCGGGGCUUGAGGUUGGGAGAGGGGUGUGGAAUUCCCGGUGUAGUGGUGGAAUGCGUAGAGAUCGGGAGGAACACCUGUGGCGAAAGCGGCACCCUGGCCCACACCUGACGCUGAGGUGCGAAAGCGUGGGUAGCAAACAGGAUUAGAAACCCCAGUAGUCC
RNAcentral lists this ribosomal RNA (427 nucleotides) under uncultured bacterium. RNAcentral describes it as "bacterial SSU rRNA". It matches the Rfam family "Bacterial small subunit ribosomal RNA", at positions 354 to 796 of the family's 1533-position model. The record is from RNAcentral.